CCUACGGGCGGCAGCAGUGGGGAAUAUUGGACAAUGGGGGGAACCCUGAUCCAGCCAUGCCGCGUGUGUGAAGAAGGCCCUCGGGUUGUAAAGCACUUUCAGUGAGGAAGAACGCCUGGUGGUUAAUACCCAUCAGGAAAGACAUCACUCACAGAAGAAGCACCGGCUAACUCCGUGCCAGCAGCCGCGGUAAUACGGAGGGUGCGAGCGUUAAUCGGAAUUACUGGGCGUAAAGCACGCGUAGGUGGCUUGAUAAGCCGGUUGUGAAAGCCCCGGGCUCAACCUGGGAACGGCAUCCGGAACUGUCAAGCUAGAGUGCAGGAGAGGAAGGUAGAAUUCCCGGUGUAGCGGUGAAAUGCGUAGAGAUCGGGAGGAAUACCAGUGGCGAAGGCGGCCUUCUGGACUGACACUGACACUGAGGUGCGAAAGCGUGGGUAGCAAACAGGAUUAGAUACCCUUGUAGUC
Molecule: ribosomal RNA, 465 nt
Filed under: Vreelandella stevensii
Lineage: Bacteria; Pseudomonadati; Pseudomonadota; Gammaproteobacteria; Oceanospirillales; Halomonadaceae
Description: partial 16S ribosomal RNA
Rfam family: Bacterial small subunit ribosomal RNA
Source: RNAcentral